UUCUGGAUCUCUCCUGAGAUCUCCCUUGGUCCUUCAUGGAUUCCUGGGUGCACCCAAAAUCUUUUAAUUCUCCCUUUGUUCUGGGUCCUUCUUGUGAUCCCCUUUGGUCCUUCAUGGACACCAGGGUGCCCCCAAACUCAUCCCUGGAGCAUCUGGUUCCCCCUGAGCCCCCUAACCUGGUGUCCCCCCAAUCCCUGGGUGCCCCCCUUGGAGCCCCUGACCCCGCUGUCCCCCCAGAGCACGGAGGGGGACAGCGAGGACACGGACCUGCAGAUCUUCUGCGUGUCCUGUGGCCACCCCAUCAACCCCAAGGUGGCCCUGAGGCACAUGGAGCGCUGCUACGCCAAGGUGAGGUCUGGGGGCACCUCUGGGUUCCUGGGGGUUCCUGGGGUCUGUGGGAUCAUCCGUGGGGUCUGUGGGGUUUUCCAUGGCACUCUGGGCUGCUGUGGGAUCAUCCAUGGGAUGUGGGUGCCCCUACUUGUUCUUGGGAUCUGUGGGAUCAUCCAUGGGAUCGUCUGUGGGGUCUGUGGGAUCAUCUCUGGGAUCUGUGGCAUCAUCCAUAGGGUGUGUGGGAUCAUCCAUGUGAUCAUCUGUGGGAUCAUCCGUGGGAUCUGGGUGCCCCUGUUUGUUCUUGGGAUCUGUGGGAUCAUCCGUGGGGUCUGUGGGAUCAUCUGUGGGAUCAUCUCUGGGGUCUGUGGCAUCAUCCACAGGGUCUGUGGGAUCAUCCGUAGGGUCUGUGGGAUCAUCCAUGGGAUCAUCCAUGGGGUCUGUGGGAUCAUCCAUGGGAUCUGGGUGCCCCUGUUUGUUCUUGGGAUCUGUGGGAUCAUCCAUGGGGUCUAUGGGAUCAUCUCUGGGAUCUGUGGGAUCAUCCAUGGGAUCAUCUGUGGGAUCAUUCAUGGGGUCUAUGAGAUCAUCCAUGGGAUCUGGGUGCCCCUGUUUGUUCGUGGGAUCAUCCAUAGGGUCUGUGGGAUCAUCUCUGGGAUCUGUGGAAUCAUCCGUGGGGUCUGUGGGAUCAUCCAUGGGGUCUGUGGGAUCAUCUCUGGGAUCUGUGGGAUCAUCCAUGGGAUCGUCCAUGGGGUCUGUGGGAUCAUCUCUGGGAUCUGUGGGGUUUUCCAUGGCACUCUGAGUUCCUGUGGGAUCAUCCACAGGAUCUGUGGGAUCAUCCAUGGGACUCUGUGGGACCUUCUGGGAGAUCCUUUUAUGGGAACUUGGGGAGCCCCCAGGGCUGGGGACCCUCCCCAGAUCCUGCAGGGGCCAUGGGGAUCCCUUUCCUCAGCUUGGGGGUGCUGGGGGGACCCUGGGAAGGAACUUUAGGGGUCUCUGUAGGGUUUGGGGGGGCUGUAGGAACAUGCUGGGAGCUC
RNAcentral lists this long non-coding RNA (1361 nucleotides) under Zonotrichia albicollis (white-throated sparrow). Its description in RNAcentral is "lncRNA (ENSZALG00000002136.1)". The record is from RNAcentral. Lineage: Eukaryota; Metazoa; Chordata; Aves; Passeriformes; Passerellidae.